CAUGCCAAUGGCACUGCCCGGUAGCUAAAUGCGGAAAAGAUAAGCGCUGAAAGCAUCUAAGCGCGAAACUUGCCCCGAGAUGAGUUCUCCCUGAGCCUUUAAGGCUCCUGAAGGAACGUUGAAGACGACGACGUUGAUAGGCUGGGUGUGUAAGUGCAGCGAUGCAUUGAGCUAACCAGUACUAAUGAUCCGUGAGGCUUAACCUUACAACACCGAAGGUGUUU
RNAcentral lists this ribosomal RNA (224 nucleotides) under Cedecea colo. Its description in RNAcentral is "partial 23S ribosomal RNA". It matches the Rfam family "Bacterial large subunit ribosomal RNA", at positions 2725 to 2925 of the family's 2925-position model. The record is from RNAcentral. Lineage: Bacteria; Pseudomonadati; Pseudomonadota; Gammaproteobacteria; Enterobacterales; Enterobacteriaceae.